GUGCCGCCUUCCUGGCCGCUGGAUCUCACUGCAGACCUCAUCCGCACAGAGCUGGCUUCGCAUGCUGGGACAGGCGUGUCCCAGUCGCUCUGGGGUAUGAGGCUGCCGUCUCCCCCUCGCCUGGUUUAGCCCUCCCGCUGAAACGGUGUACCAGGGUGUGGCUGCCGUCACAUGCAAAUAGCGAGUUCCAGAAAUUAGUUUAGCUCAAGACUGUGGGCUAAAGGGCCUGUUCCUGGAUGAUCUGUGUUCUGACUAAGCCUGGCCUUUUGCUACUUGGAGCCACAGGUGAGAGAAUCGCAGGUGGUGAUGAAGAUGCUUGGCAGAGUGAGCUAGACCGAGUGGUCGAGUGGUGACACAGCAGCAAUGUCAGGAAGACCAAUGCAUUGAUUGGGCACUUUGGGAAGCGGAAGUCGAGCGAGCACACUUCACCCCUCAUUGAGGGAUAAGCAGUGGAAAAGACGCUGCCUGAUUUACUGAAUAUUUCAAGACUUUACUAGAUUUUACUUCAGGAUUUCAGCAGUUUCUUUUUUCUGUGGUUCGCUUUGAAUAUUUGAACAUCACUGGAAAGGUUAAAUUUAAUUCCCAUCCCUAAAUGCCCUUGAGAAGAUGGUGAUAAACAAUCUUCUUGAAACCUUGGCCAUGCUUCAGGUGAACGUGUUCUGACAGUGCUGUUCAACUUCGAGUUUACUGUUAUCUGAUUGUGCAUAUAUAUAGCCAAAUGAAACAAUAUUCCUCUGGACCAUAGUGCAGCCACAAAACAUGCAUCACACUCAAAAUUCAAAGUUUGAAGUAAAUUUAUUAUCUGUACAUUUCUGUUACCAUAUACAACCCUGGUGUUCAUUUUCUUGUGGGCAUACUGAAUGCAUCUAUAGAAUAGUAACUAGGACAGAAUCACUGAAAGACCGCGCAACUUGGGCUUUCAACCAGAGUGCAGAAGACAACAAACUGUGCAAAUACAAAAAGAAAUAAUAAUAAUAAUAAUAAUAAGCAAUAAAUAUUGAGAACAUAAGAUGAAGAGUUCUUCACAGCGAGUCCAUUGGUGUGGGAAUAGCUCAAUGACGGGGCAAGUGAAGUUGAGUGAAGUUAUCCCCUUUAGUUCUAGAGCCUGAUGAUUGGUGGGUAAUAACCGUUCCUGAACCUGGUGGUGUGUAUCACCUUCUUGAUGGCAGAAGGAAGAAGAGAGCGUGUCCUGUGUGGUGGGGGGUCCCUGAUGAUGGAUGCUGCUUUCCUUUGACAGUGUUUCAUGUAGAUGUGCUCAAUGGUGGGGAGGGCUUUACCCAUGAUGGACUGGGCUGUAUCUGCUUUUUUUUAUAUAGUGGAUACAUAAAAUAUAACCAUGAGUAAGUUAUUAAAAUAUAAUUCAAAGUGCAUGUAGUGCACAGCACUGGUAAGCAGCAAACAGUUAACAGCUCGCUGUCCAAGUUACAAGACCUCAGGAGUUCCAGAUUUAGAUCUAGCGAUGAAAGACCGAUGAGAUAUGAAUAAACAACACAGACAAAAUGCUGGUGGAACACAGCAGGCCAGGCAGCAUCUAUAGGUAGAAGUGCUGUCUACGUUUCGGGCCGAGACCCUUCGUCAGGACAUAAUGAAUAAACUCUGCUCGGUCUUCCAGCCGGGUACAGGUUUUGAUUUUAACCGAGGUUUCGAUGACAAGCGUCUAGGCAUGUCUAGUUUGAAAGCAUAUAUACUCUCAUUAAAAAUUUUAACAACGACAAAGGUGUCACUCUAAGUAAGAACUGGGAUUCUAUUGUAAACAAGGUGGGACAGCGUAAACCUGAUUGGAUGAGGACUAACCAAUCAGGAGGGACGGAUGAUGGGGGUAUAAAUACCUCUGGACUAGACAGCAUCCCUGAUGAAGAUGACAGAGUUUGCCAUUGAAACGUCGGUUAAAAUCAAUACCUGUACCCAACUGGAAGCCCGAGAGGAGUCUAUUCAUCAUAUGCACUAGGUCCUUUUUCAAAGACCGGUGAGAUGCUUCUAAACCCAUGUAGUGUGCGACUUGGGAGGCGAAGUUCCCAUGCAUUUUGAAUUAGAAUCAGAGUCAGGGUUAUUAUUUAUUUAUUUUGAGAUACAGUGUGGAACAGGCCCUUUCGGCCAAACGAGACACACAGACCAACAAACCACCUACUUAGCCCGAGUCUAAUCACAGGACAAUUUACAAUGGCCAAUUAGUCUACUACUCAGAGCGUCCUUGCACCGUGGAAGGAAACCGGAGCAUCCAGAGGAAACCCACGCACUCAUGGAAAGAAUGUAGAAACUUUCUUAUAGAGGACGCUGGAACUGAACUUUGAACUCCAAUGCCCCAAGCUGUAAUAUCAUCACGCUUCCUGCUAUGCACCUUGGCUGUUAUCAUUGACUUGACAUACAUUGUGAAAACAUAUAUAUAUAUAUAAAAUGUAAUGCAAGAUGAGUGAGGUAGUGUUCAUGGGUUCAUGGACCAUUCAGAAAUCUGAUGGUGUAGGUGGGUGUGUGUCUUUAGGCU
Hypanus sabinus (Atlantic stingray) is the source of this 2482-nucleotide long non-coding RNA. RefSeq lists it as uncharacterized. NCBI's taxonomy places the organism in Eukaryota, Metazoa, Chordata, Chondrichthyes, Myliobatiformes, Dasyatidae. The transcript has 3 exons. The record is from RefSeq and is a predicted model, not a curated record.